AUCAANAAACAUGUCUUUUUGACAAUGAGAUUAAAAAGUCUGGCCUGCCCACUGAAGGAUUGAAGGGCCGCGGUAUUUUGACCGUGCAAAGGUAGCAUAAUCAUUAGUCUUUUAAUUGAAGGCUGGUAUGAAUGGUUCGACGAGGUAUUAGCUGUCUCAUUAUAAUUAAAUUUGAAUUUAACUUUUUAGUCAAAAGGCUAGGAUGAUUUUAGAGGACGAGAAGACCCUAUAGAGCUUUAUAAGUAUAAUUAAUUGAUUAGUUACAGAUGUUUACACUAAUUUAUGGAUUAAUUUAUUUAGUUGGGGUGACUUGAAGAUGAAAGAAACUCUUUGUUUAUAUUAACAUAGAUACAUGGGAUAUUGAUCCGUUUUUAGUGAUUGAAAGAUUAAGUUACCUUAGGGAUAACAGCGUAAUUUUUUUUAAGAGUUCUUAUCAACAAAAAAGAUUGCGACCUCGAUGUUGGAUUAAGGAAUAUUAUUGGGUGUAGAAGUUUAUGAAUAGGUCUGUUCCGACCUUUAAAUCCUUACAUGAUCUGAGU
This 539-nucleotide ribosomal RNA is filed under the name Hemiandrus sp. MCJ-2002. RNAcentral describes it as "partial 16S ribosomal RNA". It matches the Rfam family "Bacterial large subunit ribosomal RNA", at positions 1806 to 2610 of the family's 2925-position model. The record is from RNAcentral. Lineage: Eukaryota; Metazoa; Arthropoda; Insecta; Orthoptera; Anostostomatidae.